CCCUCGUCCGAUCCCCAACCUCCCCCCGAUCCCGUCGCCGCUGCUGCCUACCCCGCCUCCUACCGGUGCGCCACCACUCCCGUCUCCUUCCGGCGCGCCGUCAUCGCCGCCUCCUACCGGCGCCGCCGGACCCUCCUUCUUCCCUGGCCACCCCGCUGCCCCCGCCAUCUUCCCGAGCGCGCCGCUGCCGCCGUCUUCCCCAGAGCGCCACCGCCCCGCCACCCCCGCCCACGGGACCAGUGGUCCCAUCGCCGGUCUCCCCCCACCUAGAUCUACCGGAGGCGCACCGGAUCCUGCCUCACGGCCGGUUCCCGCGACUCGGCCGUCGCCCCAACCGCUGCAGCAGCCGAGAAGCCAUGGAGGAGCUCACCCCUGCCUUCUCCACGGAUCUGGUUGAUCUGAAGGCGGGCGGCGAGGCGGGGCUCGCCGAGCGAGGUAUCCAGGCAGGGGUCGCCGGUGACGACGAGGAAGGCCGGAGCGAGGGAUCUAGCGACCUAGGCAGGAGCUCGCCAGACCUGAGUGACGGCGGACGGGCGUGUGAGACGGAGGGAUCUGGUGCGGCGGCGUGAAUUCCUUGCAGGUAGAGGCGGGUCUCCAUGGCUGGCAGGGAGAGCUCCAAGCCAUGGCGGGGCUUUAGUUUUCCCUGGUAGAAAAGAGAGAAAGAGGAAGAUUCAGGGAGGAGGAGAGGUAGGGAGAAGAAGGUGCAGGUGCGAGCUUGGGGAAGAGGGAGCCUAACAUCAAGUGCUUAGGGAACAUGUGCAUACAUCCUUGCUCCUUUUCUUCUUUCAGUUUUAGGUACUUUCCAGUAGGCGUGUACAUCCUUGUGCCUUCUCUUCUUUCGAUUUUAGCUACUCUCUAGUAUUCAAUUUGCAUGUAGAACAAAAUCUGUCAGCAGUUCUCAAGUAAAUGAACCGUAGAGAAUCAGCUAGAUAUUUUACUACUGUAAGUUGUGGAGUACUGAGAAUGGCAUUUAUAUUGCUGCAAAUGCAAUAUAUGAUUAAUGCAGCAGAGAGGAUGCCGCAAGGGGAGAGGAAUGGUGCAGUGAGAUUGAGGAAGACAUGACACAUCGGGACCCGGGAGCUCGAGAAGAGGCUCAAUCGAUCUCGACAAGAAGUGAUCUCCCCUUGGUGACAGUACUAGAUGGCCUCUCUAGGCUCCUUUCAUAGACCUGGGUAUGUGUAUAUAUUUCAUUUCUUCAACGGUUUAUUGAUGCACGAGUAAGCUUGCAAAGCGACCUGGGUAUGUGGAUAGAUUUCACUUCUUCAACGGUUCAUUGAUGCACGAGUAAGCUUGCGACCUGGGUAUGUGGAUAGAUUUCACUUCUUCAACGGUUCAUUGAUGCACGAGUAAGCUUGCAAAGCGGCAUCCUGCUUAUCUAGCUUUCCGUCCACUGUUGUCCAUGCAACUGGUAAUGACUGUGCAGCAGCCAAGCUUUAAUUUUUUUUCAUACAUCCGGCCUCUAAUCCCUGGCUAUUAAUUAUAUAUUUAAGCAAACACAAGAUGACGAGACAUCAUUUAAUUUUAAGAGAAUCAAUAAAUUAUUGAAACUGAAGUGGUCAUAUAUAUGAUGGUUUGAUCUGUAGGCCUUUUAUGUUUUUUUUCAGAAGCAGAAAAGAUAGAAGAAUCUCAUCUCCUUCUGGCGGAACGGCAGAGGGCUUGGCUGCUACCAGGGUGAUCCAAAGGGUGUAUCUAGGUAGCAUGUUUGUGGCCUCUUGCACUAACAUGAUUAAUGGUAGCUUCUAUUCCAUGACAUGAUUUUUGCAGCUGAGAUUUCAACUAUAUAACAGCAGUGAUAAAACACGCGGUUUCCCUUGCUAUUCAUGAUCACUUGAACUAGCUUAUCUUAUAAUAAUAUUUCUAUCUUGCACCAUGAGUGUUGUUCAGUGGCAAUAUUCGCUCCGCCGAAGGUAAUCCUGAUAUAAGUAUCUAGGGAGAACAUGAGGCUUCUCAGAGCUCAGCGACUGUCGACCGUCGGAUCGUUUACUGGAUGCGUUUAGGACCGCCGGAUCUCGCUCGUGGAAGACCUGGGCCGUUGGAUCGAAAAAAGUUACUGCUACAAUGAAUAGUUACCGUCUCGUUCAUGCCACCGCGUGUAAAUAGCCAGCCCCGCCGGGGGCAUUUUCGUCAUUUCACUCACAGGGAUAUAAAAGCCAGCCACUCCUGUGGAGACGACCUAGCCGCUGCCUUCCUCCUCCCGCACCCGCCGCGCCUCCCUCUCCUCUUCCUCUCCCCCUAGCGCCGCCGCACCCGCGCCUCCCUCUCCCCCUAGCGUCGCCCGCACCCGCACCUCCCUCUGCUCCUCUCGCCCCUAGCGCCGCCAUCACUGCCUCCUUCACCGUCGCCGCCCGGCCUCCUCCCCUCAUGUUCUCCUCCUUCCACCCUUCCGAUCUGGCGCCGCCCAAACCCUAACGGCCCGGCCCGGCCCCGGCUCCCACAGGAGGGAAGGAGGAAUGGUGAGGCGAGGCAAAGGCGGCGGCGUAUGACACGCGGCGCGGGCGGCGUGGCCCAGGGGGUCGGCGCGGCGGCGGCUUCUCGUCGUCUCCGCCGUCGCCUCAGCGCUGCUCCUCCUCGCCUUCCACCUCUGGUUCCGGAUCUGACCCUGCAUGUCGACUGCCAUUUGCUCGGUUUGCCACCAUGUGGAAGGACGACCUGCUUAGCCUGCUACUCGACUCCCUAGCAGCAGCUGAGGAGAGGUUCCAUGGGAACAAGCACCCAUGGUUGCUGCCUUCGUUAGCACCGUUCCUUUACUGCGGCCCUUUAGAUCCUUUGCUGAUCCAGCUCACAGAAGGGGCGUAUGGCGGCGAGGAAGCGGCGGCGCGCGCCUACGACCUGAGGGCAUUGAAGUACUGGGGCCACGACACCAUCCUCGACUUCCUAGUACCGCUUCCAAGCUACUCCUCAGUGUGUUGCUGUCUAGCUACGACCAAGAGUUGAAGGAAAUGGAGGAGCAAUCCAGGGAAGAGUACAUCGGUUCGCUCCGGAGGAAAAGCACAUGCUUCUGAAGAGGGGGUGUCCAAGUACAGAGGAGUUGCAAGGUAAGCGCCGCCAUAAACGCCAACGUGCCAAAAAGACAAGGGGCCGAGUUCCAUGUAGCGAACCAUGUCUUUGUGAGAGGACCGUAACAAGAGGUUCAUGUGACGUGCCAUGUGAGAAGUUGAACGACAAGACAGUCAAGUGAAGUUAUCAAAUAGUAUGCUUUAGUUGAACUGUAUAGGUUCCUUAUCUCUCACUGGCGCUCUGGCUUGAUUUUGUUGUCUAACUCUACUCUCUGUAUCUAACUUAAUGUGAAUUGAUCGUCUUGCCUUAGCUUUGGAACAAAGAAAUGUUUCCCUUUUAUUAUGAGCCUCCAGGUCAUUUGUUCUACUGAUUAAAUAUUUCCUACUCACCUUGCUUUUGGUAUACCCAACAUUGUUCUUGAUUUACUUUUGGAACAAAAUAUAUGUUUCUCCUUAUUCA
Molecule: non-coding RNA, 3456 nt
Organism: Aegilops tauschii subsp. strangulata
Lineage: Eukaryota; Viridiplantae; Streptophyta; Magnoliopsida; Poales; Poaceae
Source: RefSeq, a predicted model, not a curated record